RNAcentral lists this ribosomal RNA (253 nucleotides) under uncultured bacterium. RNAcentral's name for it is "partial 16S ribosomal RNA". It matches the Rfam family "Bacterial small subunit ribosomal RNA", at positions 524 to 776 of the family's 1533-position model. The record is from RNAcentral.
UACGUAGGGUGCGAGCGUUAAUCGGAAUUACUGGGCGUAAAGCGUGCGCAGGCGGUUCGUUAUGUCCGUUGUGAAAGCCCCGGGCUCAACCUGGGAAUGGCAAUGGAAACUGGCGGGCUAGAGUGUGGCAGAGGGGGGUGGAAUUCCGCGUGUAGCAGUGAAAUGCGUAGAGAUGUGGAGGAACACCGAUGGCGAAGGCAGCCUCCUGGGCCAGCACUGACGCUCAUGCACGAAAGCGUGGGGAGCAAACAGG